CCUCUUGAGCCAACACCCACCCAAGCCGUUCCCCUCGCUCCGUGACCCCACCCUUCUCACCAGGCAGCCUUCCUGCCCUCACUCACAGGGAUUCCUAGCUCCACCUCUCGCCUGUGGCCCCGCCCCUUAUCCCAGGCCCCACUCCCGCCCCGCCCCUCUCAACCUUCUGUUCUCCGAGCCCCGAGUGCCCGCUGCUGUAGGAUCUGCUCAAGGUCUGCGCGCACCAUCCUCUCCAGAGCCGCCAGCAAUGCGUCUUUUUCUGGCUGGAAGGCACGCAGCCCCGAGGAUGCCCCGGCCAGGACGGCUGCGUGCACGGCGUCGAGGAACUGCAGAGUUCGAAGGCAGCUUGGGUGAGCGCGUGGGUCCUAGGGCGGUCCCCUCUCUCUCUCUCUCCCUCUCCAUGCCACCCCACGCUCCGCACCUCCGCGCAGGCCCGAGCUCGGGCGCGUCCCGCACCGCGCAGCCCUCGGAGCGCCUGUGCUCGCAGCGCUGGCAACAGCUCCCGCAUCAGUUCAGCGCUCAGUACCUGAAGGGGAGGCGUGGGGCUAUUGGGCCGCAGGCGGCGGAACACCGAACGCGCCUGGGGUCUGCGGGACACAGCUCACCUCUGCGUCGGAGCCCAGUGUCGCGUCGUCUCCACCAGCGUAGCCCCGGCGUUGUCGAUAGAGCAGCACGGCGUCCAGGAAGGCGCAGGCUGCGGGCGCCCGGCUGCGCUGCAGGACUGAAGGCGCAAUCAAGAGCGUGCUGCGCUCAGGGAGCCCCGCACCUUCGCCGCCCAUCAAACUCCCGCCCCCUCCCACCUGCACCCCGCUGCUCCUGCGACGCACCGGUGGCUCUCAGACGAAUGGCACCCUGCAAGCCGAGCCUCCAGGCGCGCUGCGCCCCCCGAGAGUGAGCGCAGAAGCAGAGGACAGCAGCCUGAAAGAGCCCGGUGUAGGGUGUCCUGUCAUCGGAUUGUGACUUACAGGCCGGUCUGGAAGCCUGGAAAACCUUGUCUCAAAAACUACCCACAGAAGAUCUAAUACGAGUGGACCCUGCAAGAUUGACUGUUCUCUACAUCUUGUUGGAGCAGAUACCUGAGGUCAGAGCAGAAGUUCCAGGCAGUCAUGAACACCAGGCAGUUGCGAGUGCCAGCGUCAAAACUCAAGUCCAUCCACCGAGCCAUCUUUUCAGUCACCCUCCCCUUUAAUUUAAUUUUGUUUUUGUUGGUUUUGUUUGGUUUUUUUGGGAUAGAGUUUCUCUGUAUAGCCCUGGCUGUCCUGAAACUCACUCUGUGGAU
Molecule: long non-coding RNA, 1279 nt
Organism: Mastomys coucha (southern multimammate mouse)
Lineage: Eukaryota; Metazoa; Chordata; Mammalia; Rodentia; Muridae
Exons: 3
Source: RefSeq, a predicted model, not a curated record